Molecule: ribosomal RNA, 467 nt
Filed under: uncultured bacterium
Lineage: Bacteria
Description: bacterial SSU rRNA
Rfam family: Bacterial small subunit ribosomal RNA
Source: RNAcentral
UAGUCCACGCCGUAAACGAUGGACACUUGGUGUUGGCGGUUUUGACCCCGUCAGUGCCGGAGCUAACGCGUUAAGUGUCCCGCCUGGGGAGUACGGUCGCAAGAUUAAAACUCAAAGAAAUUGACGGGGGCCCGCACAAGCGGUGGAGCAUGUGGUUUAAUUCGAUGCAACGCGAAAACCUUACCUGGCCUUGACAUGUAGGGGACAGCUACCAGAGAUGGUGCUUUCUUCGGACCCCUAUGCAGGUGCUGCAUGGCUGUCGUCAGCUCGUGUCGUGAGAUGUUGGGUUAAGUCCCGCAACGAGCGCAACCCUUGUUGUUAGUUGCCAGCAUUAAGUUGGGCACUCUAACGAGACUGCCGUCCAUAAGACGGAGGAAGGUGGGGAUGACGUCAAGUCCUCAUGGCCCUUAUGGCCAGGGGCUACACACGUGCUACAAUGGAAGAUACAGUGAGUAGCGAGACCGCGA